GUAGGUGAACCUGCGGAAGGAUCAUUGAUAAUUUUGGCUUUGCAAUAAAAUAAUAUGUGAAUGCUUUUUUGUUUUAAAAGGUGUCGUACGUCAUUCUUGCUCUUGACAUGUUGCGUUAGGGCUUUUUUGAAUAUGAACAUAAAUGGACAUUAUUUUAUGUCAAGUUGGAUUUGUUGGUUGUCUGAUUAAUCAUAUGAUGACUCAUAGCAAUGGAUAUCUUGGCUCUUGUGCCGAUGAAGAACGUAGCAAGAUGCGAUACUUGUUGUGAAUUGCAGAAUCUCGUGAAACAUUGAUUAUUUGAACGCAAGUUGCGCCUGAAAUUUCUAAAUUGAGGGCAUGUCCGCUUGGGCAUCAUCGAUUUUUAUGUCAUUGAAUAUAUGUGGCGUAGAAUGGUUUCCCGUAUUAUGUGCGGUUGGCUAUAAAACUAAGUGUGUUUCAUUGGCAUGAUAUUUAUGGUGAUUUUCAAUUGACUUGUAUAUUGUGCUCUUUUGAAAUAUAUUUUUUAUUUAAUAUGCGUUAAUUAAAACGUUAUCAUAAAUGUGACCCCAAGUUGGAUCGGACUACCCGCUGAGUUUAAGCAUAUCAAUAA
This 589-nucleotide ribosomal RNA is filed under the name Voyria tenella. Its description in RNAcentral is "eukaryotic LSU rRNA". The stretch from base 199 to 354 matches the Rfam family "5.8S ribosomal RNA". The record is from RNAcentral. Lineage: Eukaryota; Viridiplantae; Streptophyta; Magnoliopsida; Gentianales; Gentianaceae.